RNAcentral lists this ribosomal RNA (662 nucleotides) under Streptomyces sp. NA5(2010). RNAcentral's name for it is "bacterial SSU rRNA". It matches the Rfam family "Bacterial small subunit ribosomal RNA", at positions 31 to 710 of the family's 1533-position model. RNAcentral also lists the same sequence under 1 other name. The record is from RNAcentral. Lineage: Bacteria; Bacillati; Actinomycetota; Actinomycetes; Kitasatosporales; Streptomycetaceae.
GAACGCUGGCGGCGUGCUUAACACAUGCAAGUCGAACGAUGAAGCCUUUCGGGGUGGAUUAGUGGCGAACGGGUGAGUAACACGUGGGCAAUCUGCCCUUCACUCUGGGACAAGCCCUGGAAACGGGGUCUAAUACCGGAUAAUACUUCUGCCUGCAUGGGUGGGGGUUGAAAGCUCCGGCGGUGAAUGAUGAGCCCGCGGCCUAUCAGCUUGUUGGUGGGGUAAUGGCCUACCAAGGCGACGACGGGUAGCCGGCCUGAGAGGGCGACCGGCCACACUGGGACUGAGACACGGCCCAUACUCCUACGGGAGGCAGCAGUGGGGAAUAUUGCACAAUGGGCGAAAGCCUGAUGCAGCGACGCCGCGUGAGGGAUGACGGCCUUCGGGUUGUAAACCUCUUUCAGCAGGGAAGAAGCGCAAGUGACGGUACCUGCAGAAGAAGCGCCGGCUAACUACGUGCCAGCAGCCGCGGUAAUACGUAGGGCGCAAGCGUUGUCCGGAAUUAUUGGGCGUAAAGAGCUCGUAGGCGGCUUGUCACGUCGGAUGUGAAAGCCCGGGGCUUAACCCCGGGUCUGCAUUCGAUACGGACUAGCUAGAGUGUGGUAGGGGAGAUCGGAAUUCCUGGUGUAGCGGUGAAAUGCGCAGAUAUCAUGAGGAACACC